AUAUCACAGCCGUGCUUAAGGGCU
RNAcentral lists this microRNA (24 nucleotides) under Fasciola hepatica (liver fluke). RNAcentral's name for it is "fhe-miR-2c". Its record names the gene fhe-miR-2c. The record is from miRBase by way of RNAcentral. Lineage: Eukaryota; Metazoa; Platyhelminthes; Trematoda; Plagiorchiida; Fasciolidae.